Molecule: ribosomal RNA, 253 nt
Filed under: uncultured bacterium
Lineage: Bacteria
Description: partial 16S ribosomal RNA
Rfam family: Bacterial small subunit ribosomal RNA
Source: RNAcentral
UACGUAGGGUGCAAGCGUUGUCCGGAAUUAUUGGGCGUAAAGAGCUCGUAGGCGGUCUGUCGCGUCUGCUGUGAAAACUCAGGGCUUAACCCUGAGCUUGCAGUGGGUACGGGCAGACUAGAGUGCGGUAGGGGAGACUGGAAUUCCUGGUGUAGCGGUGAAAUGCGCAGAUAUCAGGAGGAACACCGGUGGCGAAGGCGGUUUCCUGGCCCAGUACUGACGCUGAGGCACGAAAGCGUGGGGAGCGAACGGG